Molecule: ribosomal RNA, 231 nt
Filed under: uncultured bacterium
Lineage: Bacteria
Description: partial 16S ribosomal RNA
Rfam family: Bacterial small subunit ribosomal RNA
Source: RNAcentral
CGGGUGAGUAACGCGUAGGUAACCUGCCCCAUACAGAGGGAUAGCCACUGGAAACGGUGAUUAAUACCUCAUGACACUUUCUCUUCGCAUGGAGGGAAGGUCAAAGAUUUAUCGGUAUGGGAUGGACCUGCGUCUGAUUAGCUUGUUGGUGGGGUAACGGCCUACCAAGGCGACGAUCAGUAGCCGACCUGAGAGGGUGAUCGGCCACAUUGGAACUGAGACACGGUCCAA